UUUCUGUAUUUGGUUUCAAUUUCGUUUUUUUUUUUUUUGUCGUUGUUGUGUUUUUUUUUUUAAUAUUCAUACACAGCAUUUUAGAUGUUGGGCUAAUGAAUGCGUAAUCAGGUUUUGGAGUUGAAAUGAAGAAAGGAGAGAAGUCGGGUUGGCGAGAACUAAACAAAUUAAAGAGGAAGAUGCAGUUAUUAAACUUUCUUGACCUGCUGACCUGCUGGAUUCAAUUAAGCAAACACACACACUGUCAUCUGCAAGUCAUUUAAAAUCCAUUACCUCUCCACAUUUGUGUGUGCACAGAACAAACACGUCCUUUCCCGACUAGUCCUUUUAUUCACUUACGGAUUCGCUUACUGAUUACAUUUGAUAUAUAUUUAUUUAUUUAGUUAAUUGCUUAUCAUUCACUCACUUGCUCACUCACGCCCUCUCUUCGCCACCCUCGUUCGAGCCUUCAUUCGUGUCGAUUGCAGCAAUUUGCCACACUGCUUCAUGCUAUUGAUUCUUCCAGAGUGUCUCCUACACUACUACAAGGCAAAGUCAGUAGGAUACUCAUCACCAAGGAGCACAGAGGAGGAUCAGUUACAGCCGGAAGACUGUUGACUUUUUGACCAGCCGUAUUUUCAUAAUUGCUGCUGCCAUCAAGCAGUUCCUGACUGCACAUCUGCUAUCUCUGAGGACGCCUUUCCCACUUCCUGCUCAUGGUGGAUGCAACAGUACGUUUGGUCCAGUAAGUUUGAUAUUUUUUAAAUAUUCUAAACAAACAAUAUUUAAGUCUCUGCGGUCACACCUUUAACAUGUUAACAAAGUCUUCCCCUUGUGAUCGUUUCCGU
Long non-coding RNA from Ictalurus punctatus (channel catfish), 827 nucleotides. The record is from Ensembl. Lineage: Eukaryota; Metazoa; Chordata; Actinopteri; Siluriformes; Ictaluridae.